GCCAACAGUCAUACCACGUUGUAACACACCAGUUCUCAUCCGAUCACUGAAGUUACGCAACGUUGGGCAUGUAUGGGUACUUGUAUGGGUGACCGCUUGGCAACACCAUGUACCGUUGGCA
RNAcentral lists this ribosomal RNA (121 nucleotides) under Lasius niger. The record is from RNAcentral. Lineage: Eukaryota; Metazoa; Arthropoda; Insecta; Hymenoptera; Formicidae.